This 253-nucleotide ribosomal RNA is filed under the name uncultured bacterium. RNAcentral describes it as "partial 16S ribosomal RNA". It matches the Rfam family "Bacterial small subunit ribosomal RNA", at positions 524 to 776 of the family's 1533-position model. The record is from RNAcentral.
UACGUAGGGCGCAAGCGUUAUCCGGAAUUAUUGGGCGUAAAGAGCUCGUAGGCGGUUUGUCGCGUCUGCCGUGAAAGUCCGGGGCUCAACUCCGGAUCUGCGGUGGGUACGGGCAGACUAGAGUGCGGUAGGGGAGAUUGGAAUUCCUGGUGUAGCGGUGGAAUGCGCAGAUAUCAGGAGGAACACCGAUGGCGAAGGCGGCAUCCUGGACCGACACUGACGCUGAGGAGCGAAAGCCAGGGGAGCAAACGGG